This 253-nucleotide ribosomal RNA is filed under the name uncultured bacterium. RNAcentral's name for it is "partial 16S ribosomal RNA". It matches the Rfam family "Bacterial small subunit ribosomal RNA", at positions 524 to 776 of the family's 1533-position model. The record is from RNAcentral.
UACGAAGGGUGCAAGCGUUACUCGGAAUUACUGGGCGUAAAGCGUGCGUAGGUGGUUUGUUAAGUCUGUUGUGAAAGCCCCGGGCUCAACCUGGGAAUGGCAAUGGAUACUGGCAGGCUAGAGUGCGGUAGAGGGUAGUGGAAUUCCCGGUGUAGCAGUGAAAUGCGUAGAGAUCGGGAGGAACACCAGUGGCGAAGGCGGCUACCUGGACCAGCACUGACACUGAGGCACGAAAGCGUGGGGAGCAAACAGG